CCUACGGGAGGCAGCAGUGAGGAAUAUUGGUCAAUGGACGAGAGUCUGAACCAGCCAAGUAGCGUGAAGGAUGACUGCUCUAUGGGUUGUAAACUUCUUUUAUAUGGGAAUAAAACGUUCCACGUGUGGGAUUUUGUAUGUACCAUCUGAAUAAGGAUAGGCUAACUCCGUGCCAGCAGCCGCGGUAAUACGGAGGGUCCGAGCGUUAUCCGGAUUUUAUGGGUUUAAAGGGAGCGUAGGUGGAUUGUUAAGUCAGUUGUGAAAGUUUGCGGCUCAACCGUAAAAUUGCAGUUGAAACUGGCAGUCUUGAGUACAGUAGAGGUAGGCGGAAUUCGUGGUGUAGCGGUGAAAUGCUUAGAUAUCACGAAGAACUCCGAUUGCGAAGGCAGCUCACUGGACUGCAACUGACACUGAGGCUCGAAAGUGUGGGUAUCAAACAGGAUUAGAUACCCUAGUAGUC
This 460-nucleotide ribosomal RNA is filed under the name uncultured bacterium. Its description in RNAcentral is "partial 16S ribosomal RNA". It matches the Rfam family "Bacterial small subunit ribosomal RNA", at positions 338 to 795 of the family's 1533-position model. The record is from RNAcentral.